ACGCUCGACACCUACGGGAGCAGCAGUGGGGAAUAUUGCACAAUGGGGGAAACCCUGAUGCAGCGACGCCGCGUGGAGGAAGAAGGUCUUCGGAUUGUAAACUCCUGUUGUUGGGGAAAAAGAGGAUGGUACCCAACAAGGAAGUGACGGCUAACUACGUGCCAGUAGCCGCAGUAAUCUGAGCGGGCUGGCAAGGC
Molecule: ribosomal RNA, 197 nt
Filed under: uncultured bacterium
Lineage: Bacteria
Description: partial 16S ribosomal RNA
Rfam family: Bacterial small subunit ribosomal RNA
Source: RNAcentral